RNAcentral lists this ribosomal RNA (253 nucleotides) under uncultured bacterium. RNAcentral's name for it is "partial 16S ribosomal RNA". It matches the Rfam family "Bacterial small subunit ribosomal RNA", at positions 524 to 776 of the family's 1533-position model. The record is from RNAcentral.
UACGUAGGGUGCGAGCGUUGCCCGGAAUUAUUGGGCGUAAAGAGCUCGUAGGCGGUCUGUCGCGUCUGCUGUGAAAACUCAGGGCUUAACCCUGAGCUUGCAGUGGGUACGGGCAGACUAGAGUGCGGUAGGGGAGACUGGAAUUCCUGGUGUAGCGGUGAAAUGCGCAGAUAUCAGGAGGAACACCGGUGGCGAAGGCGGAUCUCUGGGCCAUUACUGACGCUGAGGAGCGAAAGCGUGGGGAGCGAACAGG